GCAAGCCUUGUGGAUAUCACAACAAACCUACAAUAGUUUUUGACAAGAUAUUGACUAGGCAUGAAGAAAGGCAUAUGUGGUAUUUUGAAUACUGAGCUACCUUCAUUCAAGAUUCGAACUAAUCUAAUUGGCCAGAAAAGUAUUAAAAUUGGUGGGAUUCCCUCCAUUGCUUUUUUUAGACACAAAUAAAAUUGGCCAGGCC
RNAcentral lists this long non-coding RNA (202 nucleotides) under Elaeis guineensis (African oil palm). RNAcentral's name for it is "long non-coding RNA (EGUI_LNC069830)". The record is from RNAcentral. Lineage: Eukaryota; Viridiplantae; Streptophyta; Magnoliopsida; Arecales; Arecaceae.